Long non-coding RNA from Artibeus jamaicensis (Jamaican fruit-eating bat), 645 nucleotides. RefSeq lists it as uncharacterized. The transcript has 3 exons. NCBI's taxonomy places the organism in Eukaryota, Metazoa, Chordata, Mammalia, Chiroptera, Phyllostomidae. The record is from RefSeq and is a predicted model, not a curated record.
CAGAGACAAUAAACAACCUUUGGAAAAGCAAACAGGAGCCUAGAGUUAUCUACAGGCCACUGAGCACAAGGCUGGGACCAGAAGAACAGAGGGACAAGCAGCAAAUGUUGUUAUGAGCACAAGAAAAAAAAAACGAUGUGCUAGAAUGGAGGCGUCACAUGGAGCUGGGAGACGGCAGUGUCCAUCAGUCCCUGACACAGACUGGAUGUUGCACACAUCUGGACUGAUCCUGCAUGUAUUUUAAAGGUUCUGGACAAAGGAGUGUCUCUGAAUAUUACAAAGAAAUGUGACCUCUAGUCUCAAAAUAUGCAUUUUCAUCAUGAUCAAAGAAAUGUAUCUACUAAAUCAUGAAGCAAAGUAUCCACAAUGUGCCAGGCACUGAGUGAGACAGUAAAAACAUAUUAAUGAAUAAGGUCUGAGGCAGGCACUAGCUCUUCCACAGAUGAUGAAACUAAGGUCAGAAGAGCAAAAUGGUCUCAGAUAGAAGUACACACUGAACAAGAACUUGCCCAAGUUCACAAAAUAUAUAAGUUAAUAAGCCAAGUGAAAACCGCAUCUGGCCAUCUCCAAGACACUCUACCCUUCGAACCCAACAAUAUUCUCUCCCACACUGUACUACAUAAUUUGAUAUAUUAUCAGAAUAAA